GCAAUAAAAACACACCAUUCUGCCGAAGUUAAUGGCCCAUUAACAACAGCUGGCGGACUCAACACACUGAAAUGAUUCCUGGUCCUGGUGUUCCCCCAGCAUUACUGCCUCGGAAGAAAAUAGAUCUGACCUUGUUGAAGUGGCCUUCUUCCUGUGUGGGGACCAUGGCAACUGGCCUCAUUGCCCCUGCUCCCAUAUAAAGUGGCAUGAAGCUUUGACAGAAGGAAAGAUUGAAAAGCUGGAAGUUUUCACAAUAGCUCCUUGCUGAAGCAGUAGGAGGAAACAGCUCAUCUGGACACCCAAGUGGAAUCAAGAGAAACAUCAAUUGGUUAAAAGGUUAGGCUACCUGAUGACUCAUAGACAGAAACCUGAGCUGCAGCUCUCUCACAGCUAGAGAGGAAAUUUAAGAAGUCAGUGAAGCCUAGCUGUAAUAGGUGCAGCUGCAGCUAAGCUCCACAGUGAUGAAAAAACCUAGGAUCUCUCUCUGGGACCAGAGAGAGGAAAGUUUACUAAACUGUAUAAAGGACUGAACCAUUUUGGCUGGUACCUGAGAGCAACUUGUUACUUUAUUAUUUUGUAACAUUUAUCUUACUGUAACUAAUAUUUAAGAUUAUUCUGCAGUAAAGUUUUGAAACUCA
Molecule: long non-coding RNA, 638 nt
Organism: Podarcis raffonei (Aeolian wall lizard)
Lineage: Eukaryota; Metazoa; Chordata; Lepidosauria; Squamata; Lacertidae
Exons: 3
Source: RefSeq, a predicted model, not a curated record